GAUGAACGCUGGCGGCGUGCCUAACACAUGCAAGUCGAGCGAACGGUCCAGAAGUUUGCUCCCCUGAUGUUAGCGGCGGACGGGAGCGUCACACGUGGAUAACCUACCUAUAAGACUGGGAUAACUAUGGGAAACGGGAGCUACUACCGGAUGAUUUUUUGCACCGCAUGGUUCACGCGUGAAAGACGGUAUUUCUAUCACUUAUAGAUGGGUCCGCGUAGGAUCAGUUAGUUGGUGGGGUAAUGGCUUAACAAGGCGACGAUGCAUAGCUGACCUGAGAGGAUGAUCAGCAACACUGGGACUGAGACACGGACCAGACUCAUACGGGAGGAAGCAGUGGGGAAUAUUGGAGAAUGGGCGCAAGCCUGAUCAAGCAAUGCCGCGUGAGUGAUGAAGGCCUUAGGGUUGUAAAGCUCUUUUACCCGGGAUGAUAAUGACAGUACCGGGAGAAUAAGCUCCGGCUAACUCCGUG
This 472-nucleotide ribosomal RNA is filed under the name uncultured bacterium. Its description in RNAcentral is "partial 16S ribosomal RNA". It matches the Rfam family "Bacterial small subunit ribosomal RNA", at positions 28 to 507 of the family's 1533-position model. The record is from RNAcentral.